AUACUAACUGAAAUUUCAAUUAAAAUUACAUUGAAUUUAUGGAUCAAUUGGAGAGAGUUACCAUCUUUAUAUUAAACUGUCUCAUCCAAAAACAGGGAAUGUCUCUUCAUUUAUUCUUUUUUUUUUAAACUUUUUUCCCUUACAUGUUCCUACGGAUUCUAAAUUUAUUCAGAUCAACUCUUUUAUAAGAGUUUAAAAGUUCUCUCCAUGGAGAUCUUAUAUAUUCUUAAAUAAUCCCUAGAUACUUAAUAACUUUUAUUGCUAUUGUGGAUAAUAUUUACUAUUUAUUGGCUUUAGCUGUUAUAGGAAAUACAAUUGAUUUUUGUUGGGUGAUCUUGUAUUCACCAACCUUGCUGAAUGUUCUUAUUAGUUCUAAUAAUCAAUACUAUUUUAAAAAGUAGGUGGUUAUCAAAUUAUCUAUAAAUGAUAGUUUUAUCUCUUCUCUUUCAGUCCUUACACCUUUGUUCUCUUUAUGGCAUUGGAUAGGAUUUCCAGAACUAUGUAAAAUGGUAGCACUGAUAGUGGGCCUCCUUCUAUUGACCUUAAUCUUAAAGAGAUUGUGUCCACAUUUUUUCUAUUAACAUAAUAUUUGCUGUAGGUUUUUUGGUAUAUGACUUUUAUCAAAUUAGGAAAGUUACCUUCUGUGUGCUAAGUCUUAUUAUGAAUAGGAUUAAACCUGUUAACAAGCAAAGACAUUAGGAUAAUUAUAUAAUUUUUCUCCUUUAGUUUAUUAAUGUGGUGAAUUACAAUGAUGAUUUUUUUAUAAUGGACCAUCCUUGCAUCCCUUGGAUAAACACUACUUAAAGAUUUUAGAAUGGAUACUUAGGAAGAUCGAAGUUACUCAGUAUCUUUUAUCCUUCUCAAGAACAUUCCAAGGACUAAUUUACGUGCUGCUGUUUGUCAAUAUUUAGGAGGAGGCAUCCUCCUCCUCUUUUUAGUCAUGAGGACUAUCUUUACUUUUACAAAGCAUGACUUUAGUCAUGCUUAUCUUUACUUUUACAAAUUAAAACAUUAUUAGAGUUUUUA
Molecule: non-coding RNA, 1026 nt
Organism: Microcebus murinus (gray mouse lemur)
Lineage: Eukaryota; Metazoa; Chordata; Mammalia; Primates; Cheirogaleidae
Source: RefSeq, a predicted model, not a curated record